Pelobates cultripes (western spadefoot toad) is the source of this 503-nucleotide non-coding RNA. NCBI's taxonomy places the organism in Eukaryota, Metazoa, Chordata, Amphibia, Anura, Pelobatidae. The record is from the annotation of a GenBank genome assembly.
CUGGCCAAAAGAAGUUUUGGGUCAAACGAUGCUUCGUCCUACUGACGCCUAGAUGUCCUGAUAAAGGAAUGUCAUGGGCAAUACGUAGUAAUUCUUGCCUGUACUUUCGGGGCACGACUAAUUGUGUGAGGGUCAUGGGUACAAAUCCUGCUACUACCUUCUCAGCAUAUCUAUGUAAUAAUCCUUUCUCCCAAGCGUAUCUUUCCCCCUCUAACCCUGCCUGAUUCUGUGUAGCCCUAUCCCGGUAUACCUGCAGGGACGGGUCGGUGACUACUUCAGUACCAAAUUCUAAGGGGGGAGCCCAGGGGACGAAAGGUGGGUCAGUACUGUUACUUACCGGAGCCUCAGAGUGUUCAGAAGAUGCGGUGGUGCGGGCCUGCUGCCGUGUUAUCACGGGUAGCGCUUCCUGCGCGGGGUGCUGAGAAACAAAAGCGGAGGUCAGCUCCCCCAAGUCGUUACCCAGGAUGACAUCAGCUGGUAAGUCCUGCAUGAAGCCCACUUCC